RNAcentral lists this ribosomal RNA (1477 nucleotides) under Listeria monocytogenes. RNAcentral's name for it is "partial 23S ribosomal RNA". It matches the Rfam family "Bacterial large subunit ribosomal RNA", at positions 1 to 1470 of the family's 2925-position model. The record is from RNAcentral. Lineage: Bacteria; Bacillati; Bacillota; Bacilli; Caryophanales; Listeriaceae.
UUGGUUAAGUUAGAAAGGGCGCACGGUGGAUGCCUUGGCACUAGGAGCCGAAGAAGGACGGGACUAACACCGAUAUGCUUUGGGGAGCUGUACGUAAGCGUUGAUCCAGAGAUUUCCGAAUGGGGGAACCCACUAUCUUUAGUCGGAUAGUAUCCUUACGUGAAUACAUAGCGUGAGGAAGGCAGACCCAGGGAACUGAAACAUCUAAGUACCUGGAGGAAGAGAAAGAAAAAUCGAUUUCCUGAGUAGCGGCGAGCGAAACGGAAAGAGCCCAAACCAAGAAGCUUGCUUCUUGGGGUUGUAGGACACUCUAUACGGAGUUACAAAAGAAAGUUAUAAAUGAAGCGGUCUGGAAAGGCCCGCCAAAGACGGUAACAGCCCGGUAGUUGAAAUGGCUUUCCCUCCAGAGUGGAUCCUGAGUACGGCGGAACACGUGAAAUUCCGUCGGAAUCCGGGAGGACCAUCUCCCAAGGCUAAAUACUCCCUAGUGACCGAUAGUGAACCAGUACCGUGAGGGAAAGGUGAAAAGCACCCCGGAAGGGGAGUGAAACAGUUCCUGAAACCGUGUGCCUACAAGUAGUUAGAGCCCGUUAAUGGGUGAUAGCGUGCCUUUUGUAGAAUGAACCGGCGAGUUACGAUUUGUUGCAAGGUUAAGCGGAAAAAGCGGAGCCGUAGCGAAAGCGAGUCUGAAUAGGGCGCAUAAGUAACAGGUCGUAGACCCGAAACCAGGUGAUCUACCCAUGUCCAGGAUGAAGGUAAGGUAAUACUUACUGGAGGUCCGAACCCACGCACGUUGAAAAGUGCGGGGAUGAGGUGUGGGUAGCGGAGAAAUUCCAAUCGAACUUGGAGAUAGCUGGUUCUCUCCGAAAUAGCUUUAGGGCUAGCCUCGAGGUAAAGAGUCAUGGAGGUAGAGCACUGUUUGGACUAGGGGCCCUUCUCGGGUUACCGAAUUCAGAUAAACUCCGAAUGCCAUGUACUUAUACUCGGGAGUCAGACUGCGAGUGAUAAGAUCCGUAGUCGAAAGGGAAACAGCCCAGACCACCAGUUAAGGUCCCCAAAUAUAUGUUAAGUGGAAAAGGAUGUGGGGUUGCUUAGACAACCAGGAUGUUGGCUUAGAAGCAGCCACCAUUGAAAGAGUGCGUAAUAGCUCACUGGUCGAGUGACCCCGCGCCGAAAAUGUACCGGGGCUAAACAUAUUACCGAAACUGUGGAUGAACCUCUUUAGAGGUUCGUGGUAGGAGAGCGUUCUAAGGGCGGUGAAGUCAGACCGGAAGGACUGGUGGAGCGCUUAGAAGUGAGAAUGCCGGUAUGAGUAGCGAAAGAAGGGUGAGAAUCCCUUCCACCGAAUAUCUAAGGUUUCCUGAGGAAGGCUCGUCCGCUCAGGGUUAGUCGGGACCUAAGCCGAGGCCGAUAGGCGUAGGCGAUGGACAACAGGUAGAGAUUCCUGUACCAGUGCUAAUUGUUUAACCGAUGGGGU